GGACUUGAAGAUCUUUGUGGGUCCCUUCCAAAUAAGGAUAUUAUGGGGUCCUAUAAUUUUAUAAUAUGCAAUGCAGUUUUCUUAAUGAGUCACAUAAAGAAAAGACAGAUUUCAUUUUGACUGUGGGGUAGCUUAGUUCUUGUGAGGUUGUGUCUCAUAGUCUUUCAGAGAUUUACAAGGAAACAUGAAAUUGGACAAAAUAUGGACCUUCAGGAUCUGAGCAUGAUUGCCAUUGGGGAAACUAAAAUCUGUUUAUGGAAACCAGAUUUUGCAGUGUUGGCUCUGUUAUAUCCAUAAUGUUACAGCAGCAUUAGAGUAUGCUCAGUUCUGACAAGAAACUGGGAAGACCAGUAACGCUUCCUUAACCCAGUGUUAGCCACAUGGGUCUCUCUCUGAAGUGUAGCAAGCUGGAGUACAUGUGCUUCCAGUGUCCCAGAUGGUUCCUGUACAAUCCCUGUAACUUUUAGACUUCUAUUUCCUUCCUGCUUUUCAUUCCAAAAUGCCACUAACUAUGAAUAACUUAAUUUGCCUGCCAGAGUUCUCUAUCACUUUCUCCAGCCUUAAGAGAGUAACUUUCUAACACUGCGUUUCAAUGUCUUCUGGCAGAAUAUGUUCCAUCUGCUUUUUAGAUGUGUGAGUGUGGGAGGGGCAGAGGAGGCUGGGAUAGCGAGGGUGGUGUCAAGGAAAGACGCCAAGACAUACUGCUCUCACUGAGAUGAUCUACUGCUUCCUUUCUGUUUCCACACAGCUUGAUACACUGCUUGUGCUUCCCUUAGGUGUGGCUGCUCUUCCUCACAUUUCCCCAAGGGUUCCUGAUUGAGUGUUUUGGAACUGCUGAUCCUUGGGGGCUACUGGCAGUCCACAGAAAUCCAGAUGUUUGUCAAUAAAGAAAAAAAAAACCCAAAGACUCUUACAUGCAAACAGUCAUAGAAAGCUGGGAAAACAGAAGUAGUUAAUUAAAAUUUAGAGCUGAUCCUAGUUUCAUCUUGAUGAUAAAUGAAAAAUGAUCUUUAGCAGUCCUGCACAAGAUAUUUUCUGAAAUGGCUAGGCAAAACUUGAAUUAAAACUAGCUGAGAAAUGAUAUCCUAGCCAUAACAGUUUCUUGACAUGUUGUUUAUCUGUCAUAUUAGGCAAGAGCACUGCUUGCUGUGGUGGGUUUAGACCUACCUACAAACUAGCUGACUAUCUAGUGAAGAAGAGCUGAUAAGUGUUUCAGCAGGGAAAGUUUAUUGCCUGUGGCUGAGCCCAUGCUUCUCCCUCACUGGUACAAGGCUGAGUCCCUCUCUCUUCUCUAGACAUCAGUUUUUAGAAAACUUACAGGAACAUGACAUUUUUCAGAUAUUUUCUUUUUGUCAUCUUGCAACUGGCUAACUAAUUAGGCAAUUAUUAUCUGGUACUGAUAGAUGAAUUCAAAGACAUUAUUUACUAAAAAAAAAAAAAAAAAAAAAUCCCAGUUAAAAAUGGAAUUGUAACAAAGUUCCAGGUGCCAAUUUCAGCAUGACCUUAAUUAAAGGCUCACUGGUGUGUAGCAUAUACAUGCUAAGCAAUCAGAUCCUUUUAAUGUGAAGAAAAGAAGUCUACAUUUAAUUUCAAUGAAACAGGAAAAAUUAAAAUCUGCACAAAGUUAAUGUUGAGUUGCUCUAAACAUUGACUGUUACUGCAAAAUGCAGGUUCUGUGUUCAGUCAGUUGUGUUAUGAUAAAUCUGUUACAUAAAGUCAGGUCAUGUGAAUGUGAUGCCAUUAAAUGUGAUAGGUUAUAAAAUCAGUUCUGAACAAAAAUCCAUUACAGUUUCCCAUUCUUGCCUUGACAAGGAAUAUAAUCUUUGUGGUGGUCUUCAUUAUCUUUGAUCUGAACAUAUGGUAAUAUUAUUUUCCCUGUUAAAAUAAUGAAUGUACCCUUCCUUGAUCCAGAUUGUAAUUCUAAACAGCAGUCAUCUAUAUUCUGUUAUAAUGUGUAUAUAUUACAGAUAUAGAAAAAAUAAUUUUAGGCUAUACAGCCUGCAGUCUGUAGGAUGGUAGCAGUAUGAGGCUCAGCACAAGCUAACCACUUAUAUACUUUUCUUUUUCAGCUUUUAAUCUGUCAUCGAACCCAACAUUUUCCAUAUCACUUGUACCUGAAUUAGCUAGUAUAAAGCUAAAGCAAGGUAUUUCCUGUCACAUGUAAUGCAAGAGCAUUGUAAUCAGUAAAACAUAGGAUGGAAAACCCCCAGAGUUUGUGCCCUGUCUUUCUGGAGAUAGUUAAAUAUGGGAACAAAUAUCUUGACAAAUCAGACAGUACUACAACUGUUUAACAAAAGGAAUUCCCCUUUUUUUUUUUUUUCUGUUGUCUCAGUACUGUGUGAAAGAAGUGGCAGGUUUCCCUCUUAUAUACCAUCUAUGCUUCCAAAUCUGAGAUCCAUGUCCUAUGAGACAAGAAACAAAUAUUACAUAACUGAGAUCAUAUCCUCCCUGGAGUGACUUAACAGAAUCACAUCAGUUUCCAGAAGCCUGGAAAUAAAAAGAUUUAAAUAAAACAUUUCUUUCUUUUUGUAGAAGAAGGAGAGAAAAAAUAAUCAUUGCAUAAAAACAAACAAAGCAAGCAAACAAACAAACAAACAAAA
Molecule: long non-coding RNA, 2600 nt
Organism: Oxyura jamaicensis (ruddy duck)
Lineage: Eukaryota; Metazoa; Chordata; Aves; Anseriformes; Anatidae
Exons: 2
Source: RefSeq, a predicted model, not a curated record